GAUGAACGCUGGCGGCGUGCCUAAUACAUGCAAGUCGAGCGAACAGACGAGGACCUUGCUCCUCUGACGGUAUCGGCGGCCGGGGGAGGAGCACGUGGAUAGCCUACCGAUAAGACUGGGAUAACUUCCGGAAACCGGAGCUAAUACCGGGGAAUAUAUUGAACCUCAUGCUUCAUUAGUGAAGGACAGUUUUUCUUUCACUGAGAGAUGGGCCCGCGCCGCAUUAGCUAGUUGGUAAGGUAACGGCUUACCAAGGCGGCGAUGCGUAGCCGACCUGAGAGGGUGAUCGGCCAUCAUGGAAGUGCGACAAGGCGCCGCCGACUACUGGAGGCGGCAGCAGGGGAUAUUACGCAACAGGGGAAAGAAUGAUGGAGCAACGACGCGGGGUGGAUGAAGGUCUUCGGAGGGUAAAACUCCGCUAUUAGGGGAGAAGAAAUGUGGAAGUAACUAUGCGCGUAUUGACGGUAGCUAGAUAGAAAGCCCCGGCUAACUACGUG
This 497-nucleotide ribosomal RNA is filed under the name uncultured bacterium. RNAcentral's name for it is "partial 16S ribosomal RNA". It matches the Rfam family "Bacterial small subunit ribosomal RNA", at positions 28 to 507 of the family's 1533-position model. The record is from RNAcentral.